Amphiprion ocellaris (clown anemonefish) is the source of this 1199-nucleotide long non-coding RNA. The record is from Ensembl. NCBI's taxonomy places the organism in Eukaryota, Metazoa, Chordata, Actinopteri, Pomacentridae.
CAAAAAAAAACGCCUUACUAUACUAUGUCAAAAAAAAUGGGAUUUUUCAAACAUGUUGUAAAAAUGUGCCAUAUGAAGAAAUAAUGUAAAGGAGGCCGUGAAAAACACUCCAGAAAGGUUUUCUUUUAAAAAAAAAUCAUCAUGAAUUUUUGCGCAAAAAAACGCCUUACUAUACUAUGUCGAAAAAAAUGCAAUUUUUCAAACAUGUUUUAAAAACGUGUCAUAUGAUGAAAUAAUGUAAAGGACGCCAUGAAAAACACUCCAGAAAGGUUUUCUUUGAAAAAAAAAAAUCAGAAUGAAUUUUGGCGCAAAAAAACGCCUUACUAUACUAUGUCGAAAGAAAAUGGGAUUUUUCAAACAUGUUGUAAAAACGUGCCAUAUGAUGAAAUAAUGUAAAGGAGGCCGUGAAAAACACUCCAGAAAGGUUUUCUUUGAAAAAAAAAUCAUCAUGAAUUUUGGCGCAAAAAAAACGCCUUACUAUACUAUGUCGAAAAAAAAUGGGAUUUUUCAAACAUGUUGUAAAAACGUGCCAUAUGAUGAAAUAAUGUAAAGGAGGGCGUGAAAAACACUCCAGAAAGGUUUUCUUUCAAAAAAAAAUCAGCAUGAAUUUUGGCGCAAAAAUAACCGCCGUACUAUACUAUGUUAAAAAAAAAUGCGAUUUUUCAAACAUGUUGUAAAAACGUGUCAUAUGAUGAAAUAAUGUAAAGGAGGCCGUGAAAAACACUCCAGAAAGGUUUUCUUUGAAAAAAAAAAUCAGUAUGAAUUUUGGCGCAAAAAAACGCCUUACUAUACUAUGUCGAAAGAAAAUGGGAUUUUUCAAACAUGUUGUAAAAACGUGCCAUAUGAUGAAAUAAUGUAAAGGAGGCCGUGAAAAACACUCCAGAAAGGUUUUCUUUGAAAAAAAAAUCAUCAUGAAUUUUGGCGCAAAAAAAACGCCUUACUAUACUAUGUCGAAAAAAAAUGCGAUUUUUCAAACAUGUUUUAAAAACGUGUCAUAUGAUGAAAUAAUGUAAAGGAGGCCGUGAAAAACACUCCAGAAAAGUUUUCUUUGCAAAAAAAAAUCUGCAUGAAUUUUGGCACAAAAAAAACGCCUUACUAUACUAUGUCAAAAAAAAUGGGAUUUUUCAAACAUGUUGUAAAAAUGUGCCAUAUGAAGAAAUAAUGUAAAGGAGGCCGUGAAAAACACUCCAGAAAGGUUU